RNAcentral lists this non-coding RNA (27 nucleotides) under Bombyx mori (domestic silkworm). Lineage: Eukaryota; Metazoa; Arthropoda; Insecta; Lepidoptera; Bombycidae. The record is from RNAcentral.
UUUCUUCAAGAUUCUGUUUUCUGCUGC